Oncorhynchus tshawytscha (Chinook salmon) is the source of this 935-nucleotide long non-coding RNA. The record is from Ensembl. NCBI's taxonomy places the organism in Eukaryota, Metazoa, Chordata, Actinopteri, Salmoniformes, Salmonidae.
CAGAGUUGGAAAUCAGUCUGUGUGUGUGCGACAAGGAGGGCUAGCGAACCUGAUAAUUUAGCUUUUUAUUGAACAUACUUCUUUCCGUGUGAAAUAUUAUAGUUGAAUUACAUUUUAGGGUACCUGAGGAAACACAUUUGGACUUUUUUUCACGAAGUUUAGCGAUAGCUUUUUGGAUUCCUUUCUCUGUAUGUUGAACGAGGGGAUUACUCAAAUCGAUGGCGCCAACUAAACUGACUUGGGAUAUAAAGAAGGAUUUUAUUUAACAAAACGACCAUAUAUGUUGUAGCUGGGACCCUUUGGAUGGCAAAUCAGAGGGAGAUUUUCAAAAACCCGUGGAGAUAUCAAAACAGCUGCAAAAAAAUAAAAUUCCCAGCCAUAAACCUGAUGCAUCAGGAAGCACCACAGACCUGAGCGACACAAAUGAGAUCACACACCUGCCAUGUCUCCACCAUCCACGCUGGCACUGUGUUAUUUUCUUGCAUGGAAUGAUGACCAAAUCCACUUUAAGUGGACCUAUUUGUUCCACUGUGUUGGACAUAGAAGUCAAUUAUGGAACUGUGUUUGUGAGGGCCGACGCUGGAGACGAGAAGCAAGGGAGUGAACAUUUAAUGUAAAACAGACAUCAAACAAAACAAGAACAGUGUCUGGAUGGGGGGAACAAAACGACAUGACGACAAUAAUGCUGACACGGAGAAACAAACUGAGGAACAAACAGAUAUAGAGGGACAAUCAACAAGGUGAAGGAGACCAGAGGUGCCACCUGGCAUCCCACCUGGGCGAAGCAUGGGCGCUGGACAAGAUGGCCGAGGCGUAGAAGCCUGAUGAUCCAGCUGAGGCGUGGGAGCCUGACGAGCCGGCUGAGGCAUGAUGUGGGAUGGGAGCCUGCCGAUCCAACUGAGGAAAGGAAACCUCUCAAGCCAGCUAAGAUGUGG